CAGUUCUGUCCCCACAGUGUUCGUGGUGUUGAUCACAGUGGUUACCAGAAAAGCCUCAGCACUUCCUAUUCCUCUCUCAGAGCAAAAGAGCAGGUCAAAGGGGCAUCCACCUGAGGUUGUUAUUCUUUUUUUGUUUGUUUUGUUUUGUUUCUGAACAGGAGAAAACCACUCCUCCUGGAAGCACUGAGAAUAUUGUGGAAGAGAUUGGCCUGAAACAGCUGUUCAGCCUGAGACUGAUACUACUUAGAGCAGUAGCUGCUCCAGCUUCCACGGUGUGUGGCAGCAGCUUGCAGAAGUAGUGUUGUCGCAGCCUUCCUGGAGGAGAUCUGGAGCGAGCCAAGGGGUUUGGUGGGGUGGGAUCGGGGCACCUUUGGG
RNAcentral lists this long non-coding RNA (375 nucleotides) under Athene cunicularia (burrowing owl). Its description in RNAcentral is "lncRNA (ENSACUG00000001663.1)". Lineage: Eukaryota; Metazoa; Chordata; Aves; Strigiformes; Strigidae. The record is from RNAcentral.